Molecule: ribosomal RNA, 327 nt
Filed under: uncultured eukaryote
Lineage: Eukaryota
Description: partial 18S ribosomal RNA
Rfam family: Eukaryotic small subunit ribosomal RNA
Source: RNAcentral
CCCUUAGAUGUUCUGGGCCGCACACGCGCUACACUGAAGGAGGCAGCGUGUACUCCUGGAUCGAAAGAUUUGGGUAACCCGCGAAUCUCCUUCGUGCUAGGGAUUGAGGUUUGCAAUUAUCCUUCAUGAACGAGGAAUUCCCAGUAAGUGCAAGUCAUAAGCUUGCGCUGACUACGUCCCUGCCCUUUGUACACACCGCCCGUCGCUACUACCGAUUGAAUGAUUUAGUGAGGACUUCGGACUGGGACCAAUGCGGCUUUCGGGCUGCGUCGGUAUUCUGGAAAGAUGUCCAAACUGUAUCAUUUAGAGGAAGUAAAANUCGUANCA